AUCAAUAAGCGGAGGAAAAGAAACUAACAAGGAUUCCCCUAGUAACGGCRARUGAAGCGGGAUGAGCUCAAAUUUGAAAGCUGGCCUCACGGUCCGCGUUGUAAUCUCGAGAACUGUUUUCCGUACCGGACCACGUACAAGUUCCUUGGAACAGGACGUCAUAGAGGGUGAGAAUCCCGUACUUGAUGUGGCCCCCGGUGCUUUGUGAUACAGCCUCAACGAGUCGAGUUGUUUGGGAAUGCAGCUCAAAAUGGGUGGUAAAUUCCAUCUAAAGCUAAAUAUUGGGGAGAGACCGAUAGCGAACAAGUACCGUGAGGGAAAGAUGAAAAGCACUUUGGAAAGAGAGUUAAACAGUACGUGAAAUUGUCAAAAGGGAAGCGCUUGGGAUCAGACAUGCCGUCUGGGAUUCAGCCUUGCUUUUGCUUGGUGUAUUUCCCAGUUGGCAGGCCAGCAUCGGUUUUGUCGGUCGGAUAAUAGUUGGAGGAACGUGGCACCGUUCGCGGUGUGUUAUAGCCUCUUUCUGGAUACGGCCGACGGGACCGAGGUACGCAGUGCGCCUUUUGGCGGGCCUUCGGGCACCUUCGCCACUUAGGAUGCUGGCGUAAUGGUUCUAACCGACCCGUCUUUGAAAC
Molecule: ribosomal RNA, 632 nt
Filed under: Melaniella oreophila
Lineage: Eukaryota; Fungi; Basidiomycota; Exobasidiomycetes; Doassansiales; Melaniellaceae
Description: LSU rRNA
Rfam family: Eukaryotic large subunit ribosomal RNA
Source: RNAcentral